CCUCGGGAGGCAGCAGUGGGGAAUAUUGCACAAUGGGGGAAACCCUGAUGCAGCAACGCCGCGUGAGCGAUGAAGGCCUUCGGGUCGUAAAGCUCUGUCCUAAGGGAAGAAUAAAUGACGGUACCUUAGGAGGAAGCCCCGGCUAACUACGUGCCAGCAGCCGCGGUAAUACGUAGGGGGCAAGCGUUAUCCGGAAUCACUGGGCGUAAAGGGUGCGUAGGCGGCCAAUAAAGUCAGGGGUGAAAGGCUACGGCUUAACCGUAGUAAGCCUUUGAAACUUAUUGGCUUGAGUGCAGGAGAGGAGAGUGGAAUUCCUAGUGUAGCGGUGAAAUGCGUAGAUAUUAGGAGGAACACCAGUGGCGAAGGCGACUCUCUGGACUGUAACUGACGCUGAGGCACGAAAGCGUGGGGAGCGAACAG
This 420-nucleotide ribosomal RNA is filed under the name uncultured bacterium. RNAcentral's name for it is "bacterial SSU rRNA". It matches the Rfam family "Bacterial small subunit ribosomal RNA", at positions 339 to 775 of the family's 1533-position model. The record is from RNAcentral.